UAGGGAAUCUUCGGCAAUGGGGGGAACCCUGACCGAGCAACGCCGCGUGAGUGAAGAAGGUUUUCGGAUCGUAAAGCUCUGUUGUUAAGGAAGAACGAGUGUGAGAAUGGAAAGUUCAUGCUGUGACGGUACUUAACCAGAAAGGGACGGCUAACUACGUGCCAGCAGCCGCGGUAAUACGUAGGUCCCGAGCGUUGUCCGGAUUUAUUGGGCGUAAAGCGAGCGCAGGCGGUUAGAAAAGUCUGAAGUGAAAGGCAUUGGCUCAACCAUUGUAGGCUUUGGAAACUGUUUAACUUGAGUGCAGAAGGGGAGAGUGGAAUUCCAUGUGUAGCGGUGAAAUGCGUAGAUAUAUGGAGGAACACCGGUGGCGAAAGCGGCUCUCUGGUCUGUAACUGACGCUGAGGCUCGAAAGCGUGGGGAGCGAACAGG
Molecule: ribosomal RNA, 429 nt
Filed under: Bacteroidota bacterium
Lineage: Bacteria; Pseudomonadati; Bacteroidota
Description: Bacteroidetes bacterium partial 16S ribosomal RNA
Rfam family: Bacterial small subunit ribosomal RNA
Source: RNAcentral